This 352-nucleotide transfer-messenger RNA is filed under the name Rhodanobacteraceae. RNAcentral's name for it is "Dokdonella_A sp017305135 Standard tmRNA". It matches the Rfam family "transfer-messenger RNA". Rfam says of the family: Bacterial tmRNA, also known as 10Sa RNA or SsrA, is named for its dual tRNA and mRNA-like properties. Its role is to liberate the mRNA from a stalled ribosome. To accomplish this part of the tmRNA is used as a reading frame that ends in a translation stop signal. The record is from RNAcentral. Lineage: Bacteria; Pseudomonadati; Pseudomonadota; Gammaproteobacteria; Lysobacterales. RNAcentral also lists the same sequence under 1 other name.
GGGGGCGACCUGGUUUCGACGGGGGACGUGAAGCAGUCUGGAGCAUGCCGAGGGCGUCAUCUUCCUCGUUAAUCCGAUGGCAAAAAACUAGACGCGAACGACGACGUCUACGCUCUGGCCGCUUAAGGCCUAGCCCCGAACCCACUUGUGCCCGUGCUCGUGGAUGUAGGGUCAUCAGCACGGGAUCGCCUGCACCGGCGCCUUUCGGCCGCGGGCUAAAUCCAAGAGGCUGGUCCUGCGGCGUGCUUUGCCCGUCGUGUUGUCGCAGGACGAGAUCGAACGUCGGGCUAAGCAUGUAGCGCCGGGCGCGGAGCGCCUUCGGACGCGGGUUCGAUUCCCGCCGCCUCCACCA